RNAcentral lists this transfer RNA (84 nucleotides) under Gemmatimonadota bacterium. Its description in RNAcentral is "Gemmatimonadetes bacterium tRNA-Leu". It matches the Rfam family "tRNA". From Rfam's summary of the family: Transfer RNA (tRNA) molecules are approximately 80 nucleotides in length. Their secondary structure includes four short double-helical elements and three loops (D, anti-codon, and T loops). The record is from RNAcentral. Lineage: Bacteria; Pseudomonadati; Gemmatimonadota.
GCCCACGUGCUGAAAUUGGUAGACAGGCCAGCUUGAGGGGCUGGUGCCCUUCGGGGCGUACAGGUUCGAGUCCUGUCGUGGGCA